RNAcentral lists this long non-coding RNA (269 nucleotides) under Elaeis guineensis (African oil palm). RNAcentral describes it as "long non-coding RNA (EGUI_LNC042730)". The record is from RNAcentral. Lineage: Eukaryota; Viridiplantae; Streptophyta; Magnoliopsida; Arecales; Arecaceae.
UGAGAUAUCUAGGAGAGUUUCACCAUAGAAAAUAAGAGGUGUGAGGUGAAGGAACCAGAUCUAGGGUUUCAGGGUUAGAUCUUAAAAUUUUUUCAAGAUCAGGCAGCAGAAGACUAAAAUAAAUCAAAAUUUAUCUUAUAAAAUUAGAGAAUCUCUAGAUCUAAGAUCCUAUUACAUGAUUAUUACAUGACAUUAAAUCAAAAAUUAAAAUAUAAAGAGCAAGAACUACAUGCUGAUCAUAUCAACAUAUUUCUAUACUACAUCUAAUG